GAUGUGUCUCCUGGCCCCGGAGCCCUCCCGCCCCACCCGCGCUGGGGUCUCCAGCGCGAAGGGCUCAGUCUCUGGUGUCCCCGGCCUGGGGCUGGCAAGCUGGGUUAGGAGCUAUGACCUUGGGGCAAAUAGGGAUACGAUCCUAGAGGCGCAGGGGAGCGCGCAGCACUGAGUGUUGAGAGCCACGCGCCCUCUGCUGCACGGCCGUGGAAUAAAACGAGACAGCGGCGCCACAGUCCCCUGUCCGCAGCCCACGCUCGGGCGAACCUGGAAGAUUGCAUUUCCUCGUAGGCUGGCAGAGCCUUACAUGAAGUGCUUAUCUUCUCCUACUUUCCUCCUCUUUAAAAAAUUAACGUGGGUGAGGAGACGUCCUAGUUGAGUACAUACUGAUUUGAAAUAACCAAAACUUUUAACAAAUCAUUUUCUCAGAAGAAUCUAGUAAGAGAAAGAUAAUUUCUUCCAAAGACAUGAGAAGUUCCCUGGCUGGCCAAGAAAACUUGGCAUCUGGCAUACCUAGGAAUCAUUCAAAAUAGUUUAAUAGGAAGGACAUUUUGAGGCCAGCCAGCAUUAUGACAUUUGUGGGUCCUACGGCAUUUCACCUUGGAAACAUUUUCCUGGGCAUCUAAAUCUAUUGUGGACCUGAGGCACUGUGCUUACAGGGCCUACUGGUUUUCACUGUAUGAGACCGAGAAUGGAUUAUGGCAGUUCCUCUUACCUCUGCUGCGUACUUGACUCCAUCCACGGUGUGCUCAGAGCCAUGAUCAUCCGAAGAGCCCCAGUGAAGAUGAAACUGGCGAAGUCGAGCUCUACUUUAAUCAAGUGCUCUUAGAGCCAAGGCUUAAUGGACAAAAUGUGGUCAGUUUGCUGGUGGAUGGUGCCACUCCCAGGACACUGGACUCCUCACAAAAUGAAGUCUGGGGAUAUGUCAAGAUAAAUGAUUGUUCUUUUCUGUC
Pongo pygmaeus (Bornean orangutan) is the source of this 953-nucleotide long non-coding RNA. RefSeq lists it as uncharacterized. The record is from RefSeq and is a predicted model, not a curated record. The transcript is spliced from 4 exons. Lineage: Eukaryota; Metazoa; Chordata; Mammalia; Primates; Hominidae.